Molecule: ribosomal RNA, 68 nt
Filed under: uncultured fungus
Lineage: Eukaryota; Fungi
Description: partial 18S ribosomal RNA
Rfam family: Eukaryotic small subunit ribosomal RNA
Source: RNAcentral
UUGGGUUUCAUAGAGGAAGUAAAAGUCGUAACAAGGUCUCCGUAGGUGAACCUGCGGAGGGAUCAUUA